CCUGUGACAUACCACUUGUUGCCUCGGCGGAUCAGCCCGCUCCCGGUAAAACGGGACGGCCCGCCAGAGGACCCCUAAACUCUGUUUCUAUAUGUAACUUCUGAGUAAAACCAUAAAUAAAUCAAAACUUUCAACAACGGAUCUCUUGGUUCUGGCAUCGAUGAAGAACGCAGCAAAAUGCGAUAAGUAAUGUGAAUUGCAGAAUUCAGUGAAUCAUCGAAUCUUUGAACGCACAUUGCGCCCGCCAGUAUUCUGGCGGGCAUGCCUGUUCGAGCGUCAUUUCAACCCUCAAGCACAGCUUGGUGUUGGGACUCGCGUUAAUUCGCGUUCCUCAAAUUGAUUGGCGGUCACGUCGAGCUUCCAUAGCGUAGUAGUAAAACCCUCGUUACUGGUAAUCGUCGCGGCCACGCCGUUAAACCCCAACUUCUGAAUGUUGACCUCGGAUCAGGUAGGAAUACCCGCUGAACUUAAGCAUAUCAA
RNAcentral lists this ribosomal RNA (480 nucleotides) under Fusarium oxysporum f. sp. lentis. Its description in RNAcentral is "eukaryotic LSU rRNA". The stretch from base 126 to 279 matches the Rfam family "5.8S ribosomal RNA". Lineage: Eukaryota; Fungi; Ascomycota; Sordariomycetes; Hypocreales; Nectriaceae. The record is from RNAcentral.